Long non-coding RNA from Vitis riparia (riverbank grape), 904 nucleotides. RefSeq lists it as uncharacterized. Lineage: Eukaryota; Viridiplantae; Streptophyta; Magnoliopsida; Vitales; Vitaceae. The transcript is spliced from 2 exons. The record is from RefSeq and is a predicted model, not a curated record.
AGCCAAGCGAUAGCGAUGAAUCCAAGGCAAUUGUAAGACAAAUUUGACUUGUCCACCCUGUUUGCCAGCCAAAGAUCCAAAACUCAUGCUUUCAGGGGUUGUAUUGGAUUUACACAGCUGGUUGGAUGCUUCGCCAUUUGAAGUUACAAGGUUACUGCUGUUACCUCAGAGGAAAACCUGCCUAAACUUCAACUACUGUUCCCCACAACACGGCAAGGAAUAGUGUCAAUGGGCACAUCUCAUCUGCAGCAGAGGACAAGAAACCAUGGAAGAUCAAGAAUGAGAUGUUUGGCCUUUACCUACCAUGUAAAACAAGCAAUAUUUGGCAUAUCCUGAGAUGGGAAUUCUCCAGAAUGGCAUGAAGUUUUUGUUUUCUGUGGCAGUUGGAGUAUCAAAUGGACCAUUCCUUGAUGAUGGGCGGUGGUCAGUUACGCGACACCAAGGUAACUCAUUGUAUGAGCUUCUUAGCUGCUGCUGCUGCAGCAUUUCUCUUGGAUUCAUCGUCUAGUUGAGAUUGGUUUUGUUCGGUAAUGAGUUGUGGUUAGAGUUUGGUCACCCCAGCUAGGGGGGUGACUGUGGGUGUAGUUUGGAGUUUGUUGCCUCUACGGAGCUUCAAAUGUCGAUGUUUUCCAUGGAAUCAACUGAUAAAAUAUUCUUGCAACUGGUCUCAACUUCAUAAUCAAGUUGUGAAUAGGUUGGAUUUGUGUGAGUACAACCAUUUCUUGACUUGGCUUUUCGAAGUGGGACAACUGCUGUUGCAUGAAUCCAUUUUGUAUUUCAUGGGGAAAAGUCAUCAAUAGCUUUCUAGUUAAGAUAGAAUGAAACUCGAUGAAAAUUUUUAACUCUGGUAUUCGGGUUUCUUGUACUCAAAGAGUCUAAUCUAAGAUGUUUAAUUGAAGUUCAA